UCAUUCCUUCAGUGCUGAAACAAUCUCUACUGAACCGGCUCCAAACAAAGUUCACUGGAGAUUGUUUCAAUAUUGCAAGAAUGAUAAGAU
Pteropus vampyrus (large flying fox) is the source of this 90-nucleotide microRNA precursor. Ensembl annotates it as microRNA 653. Its record names the gene MIR653. The record is from Ensembl. NCBI's taxonomy places the organism in Eukaryota, Metazoa, Chordata, Mammalia, Chiroptera, Pteropodidae.